Molecule: ribosomal RNA, 436 nt
Filed under: uncultured bacterium
Lineage: Bacteria
Description: partial 16S ribosomal RNA
Rfam family: Bacterial small subunit ribosomal RNA
Source: RNAcentral
GAUGAACGCUGGCGGCAUGCCUAACACAUGCAAGUCGGACGGGCAGAGGUGUUUCCAGUGGCGGUCGGGUGAGUAACGCGUAAGUAACUGCCCUUGGGAGGGGAACCACAGCUGGAAACGGUUGCUAAUACCCCGCAGGCUGAGGAGCAAAAGGAGGAAUGAGCCUGAGGAGGGGCUGGCGUCUGAUUAGCUAGGUGGUGAGGCAAUAGCUUACCGAGCCGAUGAUCAGUAGCUGGUCCGAGAGGAUGAUCAGCCACACUGGAACGGAGGCACGACCCAGACACCUACGGGAGGGGGCAGAGGGGAAUUUUCCGCAAGGGGCGAAAGCCAGACGGGGCAUUGCCGCGUGAAGGUAGAUGGCCUGCGAGGCGUGAACUUCUUUUCCCGGAGAAGAAGCAUGAACGGUAUCUGGGAAAUAAGCAUCGGCAAACUCGGU